UGAAGAGUUUGAUCAUGGCUCAGAUUGAACGCUGGCGGCAGGCCUAACACAUGCAAGUCGAACGGUAACAGGAAGCAGCUUGCUGCUUUGCUGACGAGUGGCGGACGGGUGAGUAAUGUCUGGGAAACUGCCUGAUGGAGGGGGAUAACUACUGGAAACGGUGGCUAAUACCGCAUAACGUCGCAAGACCAAAGAGGGGGACCUUCGGGCCUCUUGCCAUCAGAUGUGCCCAGAUGGGAUUAGCUUGUUGGUGAGGUAACGGCUCACCAAGGCGACGAUCCCUAGCUGGUCUGAGAGGAUGACCAGCCACACUGGAACUGAGACACGGUCCAGACUCCUACGGGAGGCAGCAGUGGGGAAUAUUGCACAAUGGGCGCAAGCCUGAUGCAGCCAUGCCGCGUGUAUGAAGAAGGCCUUCGGGUUGUAAAGUACUUUCAGCGGGGAGGAAGGUGUUGUGGUUAAUAACCGCAGCAAUUGACGUUACCCGCAGAAGAAGCACCGGCUAACUCCGUGCCAGCAGCCGCGGUAAUACGGAGGGUGCAAGCGUUAAUCGGAAUUACUGGGCGUAAAGCGCACGCAGGCGGUCUGUCAAGUCGGAUGUGAAAUCCCCGGGCUCAACCUGGGAACUGCAUUCGAAACUGGCAGGCUUGAGUCUUGUAGAGGGGGGUAGAAUUCCAGGUGUAGCGGUGAAAUGCGUAGAGAUCUGGAGGAAUACCGGUGGCGAAGGCGGCCCCCUGGACAAAGACUGACGCUCAGGUGCGAAAGCGUGGGGAGCAAACAGGAUUAGAUACCCUGGUAGUCCACGCCGUAAACGAUGUCUACUUGGAGGUUGUGCCCUUGAGGCGUGGCUUCCGGAGCUAACGCGUUAAGUAGACCGCCUGGGGAGUACGGCCGCAAGGUUAAAACUCAAAUGAAUUGACGGGGGCCCGCACAAGCGGUGGAGCAUGUGGUUUAAUUCGAUGCAACGCGAAGAACCUUACCUGGUCUUGACAUCCACGGAAGUUUU
Molecule: ribosomal RNA, 1006 nt
Filed under: Salmonella enterica
Lineage: Bacteria; Pseudomonadati; Pseudomonadota; Gammaproteobacteria; Enterobacterales; Enterobacteriaceae
Also listed under: 1 other name
Description: bacterial SSU rRNA
Rfam family: Bacterial small subunit ribosomal RNA
Source: RNAcentral